This 72-nucleotide transfer RNA is filed under the name Myxococcales bacterium. Its description in RNAcentral is "tRNA-Asp". It matches the Rfam family "tRNA". From Rfam's summary of the family: Transfer RNA (tRNA) molecules are approximately 80 nucleotides in length. Their secondary structure includes four short double-helical elements and three loops (D, anti-codon, and T loops). Lineage: Bacteria; Pseudomonadati; Myxococcota; Myxococcia; Myxococcales. The record is from RNAcentral.
GGUCUGUGACGCAUCUGGUGAGGCGACUGCCCUGUCACGGCAGCGAGACGGGUUCGAUUCCCGUACGGACCG